RNAcentral lists this ribosomal RNA (459 nucleotides) under uncultured bacterium. RNAcentral describes it as "partial 16S ribosomal RNA". It matches the Rfam family "Bacterial small subunit ribosomal RNA", at positions 338 to 795 of the family's 1533-position model. The record is from RNAcentral.
CCUACGGGUGGCAGCAGUGAGGAAUAUUGGUCAAUGGGCGGGAGCCUGAACCAGCCAAGUCGCGUGAGGGACGACGGUCCUAUGGGUUGUAAACCUCUUUUGUCGGGGAACAAAGUCGCCCACGUGUGCGCUGCUGUGUGUACCCUACGAAUAAGCAUCGGCUAACUCCGUGCCAGCAGCCGCGGUAAUACGGAGGAUGCGAGCGUUAUCCGGAUUUAUUGGGUUUAAAGGGUGCGUAGGCGGACCGUAAAGACAGCGGUAAAAGUGCGGUGCUCAACGCAGUACAGCCGUUGAAACUGGCAGUCUUGAGUGGGCGAGAAGUAGGCGGAAUGCGUGGUGUAGCGGUGAAAUGCAUAGAUAUCACGCAGAACUCCGAUUGCGAAGGCAGCAUACCGGAGCGCGACUGACGCUGAGGCACGAAAGUGUGGGUAUCGAACAGGAUUAGAUACCCGUGUAGUC